UGCACUGCGCAGCAGGUGUGUGCAUUUUGUGCCUCUGUGUUGCAUUUUAUUCUUUACGAUGUUUUACAGCAAUAUCCAUAGCAAGUUUUCACUUUACUAACAAGAUGUUAGGAUUGUUAUACAUGUACUAGUAUAAAUACAGAAUUGAAUUGUAGUUUUGGGUUGUGGACUGACUACAACCAGUAGAAGAACAGAAGAAAAGAGGAAGAAAUAGAAGAAAUUUGAGGAGGAGGAGGAGAAGAAGAAGAAGGGAAGAGACAGAGAGAUCGAG
Molecule: unclassified non-coding RNA, 271 nt
Filed under: Hevea brasiliensis (rubber tree)
Lineage: Eukaryota; Viridiplantae; Streptophyta; Magnoliopsida; Malpighiales; Euphorbiaceae
Source: RNAcentral